Molecule: ribosomal RNA, 497 nt
Filed under: uncultured bacterium
Lineage: Bacteria
Description: partial 16S ribosomal RNA
Rfam family: Bacterial small subunit ribosomal RNA
Source: RNAcentral
GAUGAACGCUGGCGGCGUGCCUAAUACAUGCAAGUCGAGCGAACAGACGAGGAGCUUGCUCCUCUGACGUUAGCGGCGGACGGGUGAGUAACACGUGGAUAACCUACCUAUAAGACUGGGAUAACUUCGGGAAACCGGAGCUAAUACCGGAUAAUAUAUUGAACCGCAUGGUUCAAUAGUGAAAGACGGUUUUGCUGUCACUUAUAGAUGGAUCCGCGCCGCAUUAGCUAGUUGGUAAGGUAACGGCUUACCAAGGCAACGAUGCCUAGCCGACCUGAGAGGGUGAUUGGCCACGCUGGAAGUGAGAAGCGGUUCAGAGCCAGUCGUGAGGCAGGCGUAGGGAAUCUUCCGCAAUGGGUGACAGCCUGACGGAGCAGCUCCGCGACAGUCAUGAAGGUAUUCGCAUCGUAAAACUCUGUUAUUAUGGAAGAACAAAUGUGUAAGUAACUAUGCACGUCUUGACGGUACUUAAUCAGAAAGCCGGGGGUAACCCCGUG